GGGCUGCCCUCCCUUGGUUUCCAUGGCAACCAAGGCCUGCGCAAAGACCCUCCCCUCCCUCGAGGGUGGGUUUGUUGGGGGGUUUUUUGGAGGGAAAUGGCCCCCUGAGGCGAGCCUCCACCUCCACCUUCUCCACAGCCCGCUGGCCUUUGGGCCUGAACCUCCCAUGGAUUGAUAAGGUCUUGUGGAUAUUUUCACAUAAAUUGCAGGAAGUGACUUAUGGAUCAAGGCCCUCCAACCAGCAGAAGACCAAGCAGCCUGGACAGACAUCACCCCACAGUUUGGCUUCCUGGAUUUCUCCAGAGCAAUUACGUGACACAGCCAGAGACACAUGUGUGUGCCGAGGGAGUGUGACCUGUGACCACAGACCAACAAGCAUUCCUUCUCCCCAGGGCUCUGAAGACCGUUUGGGAGGCAAUGUCAGAAGAAUGGUGGAGAGCUGAUCCAUCGGCCCUGCUCUGAGGAACGAGAUCGACCAGUUGAACUGCUGUCAGAACGAAGCUGUGCACCUUGACUACAUGGCUCAGAAGACUAUCUAGCCAUCCUCCUUAAAGGCAGAGCCUUCCCCAUCCGUUGGACGACAGCUCCAGCCAACUCCAGCCCGCUUGGCCCUUCUGCGAUGAGUGGAAACGAGUGGAGGAAAACAGUUGACCCAGGUGGCUUUUUGUGUGUGUGCAAAGCGACUGUUACUUAAUAGUCUUUCUAAGGCCUGUGCCUCCCACGUAUAUGGGCUCACUUUGCCACUGCGAUUUACAUUGUUUCCCUUAUGACAACAUGCAUAAACAUUAGGAUUCUGGGCUGUCUAACUCAAAGGAGUCCACACUCAUGAGUUGGUUUUAAGAUGGGCCAGAGUGCAGCCAGUGUGAAAAUCACUUCUUGUGGGGGGGGGGGGGCCCUCUAGCCACCGGGCUGUUGCUUUUGCUUUGCAUCAGAUCAUCACAGCGGGGAUCAUUCAUU
This 957-nucleotide long non-coding RNA is filed under the name Pogona vitticeps (central bearded dragon). RNAcentral describes it as "lncRNA (ENSPVIG00000024886.1)". Lineage: Eukaryota; Metazoa; Chordata; Lepidosauria; Squamata; Agamidae. The record is from RNAcentral.